GUAGGUAUAUUGAAUACUUUUUAAUUACGGCAAAUUUGCAUUAUAAACCUUUAACUGAUAUUUGAUAUUGUGCACAUAGAUAUAGUAAAAAAAAGUAGAUAAUGCGCGGCCUUUGUUGUUAGUGAAGCCACAAAACUCGGCUCCUUCAAGUAAAUACACGCGCUCACGCACACAUUUGCAUCAAACUACGCUCAUUUUCGUUAGUAUCUCACGGGCCCUCGUAUAGUAACUUUGCCUUUAAAAUGCCGUCUUGUGUGAUUAAAUGGUGCAAAAACAAUACCAAAGUAAACAAAAAAUCUGAAGGAAUAUCGUUUCACACGUUUCCAACGAAUAUUUUAACAAGAGGUGAAUGGGUAGCGGCUGUAAAACUGAGAAAAUGACCACGAUUAUGCUGGCCAUGCGCAUAAAGUCAAUUUAAUACGAUUAGUGAUUGAAAAAUAUUUGAACAUAAGACUAUAUCAUAUUAGUAUAAUGCAAACAAUGACGAUGACUCUGAGUUCUAAGCGACAAAAAUUUAAAAAAAAAUCUUAUACAACAUAAAAGAUUCUAGGUUUAAGAAAAAUAGUUAAAAAAAAACCGACUGCAAACUGAAAAGAGAUAAACAGAGG
This 608-nucleotide unclassified non-coding RNA is filed under the name Melitaea cinxia (Glanville fritillary). Its description in RNAcentral is "misc RNA ENSMCXG00005014882.1". Lineage: Eukaryota; Metazoa; Arthropoda; Insecta; Lepidoptera; Nymphalidae. The record is from RNAcentral.